CCUGUUUCAUGAUAUGGACAUGAGAUACAUGUUUAAUGCAUGCAUGCAGUUAAUUCAUAGUUAUAAAUGUCAAUACAUGUAACAUUCCCAUUACAAAAUAAAUGUAAUCAGAAUUGUUUUGCCACUAUUCUCUCAAAUUCCUGUAUUUAUAUUUUUUAUUUAUGUGACAAGUCUCCUAAAUAUAAAACUGGUUGUCCAUAUCCUUCAAUUUUCCACUUUGGAAGACCCAGUUCAAGUCUCAAAUCCCAUCCCGUUAGAAAUAUUUCUCAUAAGAUUCAGAUCUGGCUGUUGAUCUCAUCUCCACAAUCCAACUGACCCUUCAUGGGUAGGCAGUUUGUGGAAGAGCUUGUUUCACCCCACCAUUUAGUAUUCUUACUAAAUCAAAAGUGUCAUCAUCUGUUGACAAAAAAUAUGAGUGAUUCCUAAAUAUUUUUAGAUAUUUUUGAAAUUUUAAAAAGAAAGUUAUUUCAAAAGGAUUGAAAUUUUGACAUGAAUAACAUUUAUGCUGUGAAUACUUAGUGCUCAGGAUGUCAUGAAAAAUGAAACAUCUAAAUCCACAUAUAUCUCCA
RNAcentral lists this long non-coding RNA (569 nucleotides) under Androctonus crassicauda. The record is from RNAcentral. Lineage: Eukaryota; Metazoa; Arthropoda; Arachnida; Scorpiones; Buthidae.